RNAcentral lists this ribosomal RNA (585 nucleotides) under uncultured bacterium. RNAcentral describes it as "partial 16S ribosomal RNA". It matches the Rfam family "Bacterial small subunit ribosomal RNA", at positions 355 to 1375 of the family's 1533-position model. The record is from RNAcentral.
UGGGGAAUUUUGGACAAUGGGCGAAAGCCUGAUCCAGCAAUGCCGCGUGUGUGAAGAAGGCCUUCGGGUUGUAAAGCACUUUUGUCCGGAAAGAAAUCCUUGGCUCUAAUACAGUCGGGGGAUGACGGUACCGGAAGAAUAAGCACCGGCUAACUACGUGCCAGCAGCCGCGGUAAUACGUAGGGUGCAAGCGUUAAUCGGAAUUACUGGGCGUAAAGCGUGCGCAGGCGGUUUGCUAAGACCGAUGUGAAAUCCCCGGGCUCAACCUGGGAACUGCAUUGGUGACUGGCAGGCUAGAGUAUGGCAGAGGGGGGUAGAAUUCCACGUGUAGCAGUGAAAUGCGUAGAGAUGUGGAGGAAUACCGAUGGCGAAGGCAGCCCCCUGGGCCAAUACUGACGCUCAUGCACGAAAGCGUGGGGAGCAAACAGGAUUAGAUACCCUGGUAGUCCACGCCCUAAACGAUGUCAACUAGUUGUUGGGGAUUCAUUUCCUUAGUAACGUAGCUAACGCGUGAAGUCGACCGCCUGGGGAGUACGGUCGCAAGAUUAAAACUCAAAUGAAUUGACGGGGUCAUAGCUGUUUCCU